RNAcentral lists this ribosomal RNA (372 nucleotides) under uncultured organism. RNAcentral describes it as "partial 16S ribosomal RNA". It matches the Rfam family "Bacterial small subunit ribosomal RNA", at positions 528 to 896 of the family's 1533-position model. The record is from RNAcentral.
GGGGGGGCAAGCGUUGUUCGGAAUUACUGGGCGUAAAGGGCGCGUAGGCGGCCCAGAAAGUCUCUUGUGAAAUCCCACGGCUCAACUGUGGAACUGCAGGGGAAACUACUGGGCUUGAGUCCGGGAGAGGGUAGUGGAAUUCCCAGUGUAGCGGUGAAAUGCGUAGAUAUUGGGAGGAACACCGGUGGCGAAGGCGGCUACCUGGACCGGUACUGACGCUGAGGCGCGAAAGCUAGGGGAGCAAACGGGAUUAGAUACCCCGGUAGUCCUAGCUGUAAACGUUGAGCACUUGGUGUAGCGGGUAUCGACCCCCUGCUGUGCCGUAGCUAACGCAUUAAGUGCUCCGCCUGGGGGAGUACGGUCGCAAGGCUG